AUUGAACGCUGGCGGCAUGCUUUACACAUGCAAGUCGAACGGCAGCACGGGGCAACCCUGGUGGCGAGUGGCGAACGGGUGAGUAAUAUAUCGGAACGUACCCGGAAAUGGGGGAUAACGUAGCGAAAGUUACGCUAAUACCGCAUAUGCCCUAAGGGGAAAGCGGGGGACUCGCAAGAACCUCGCGUUUUCGGAGCGGCCGAUAUCGGAUUAGCUAGUAGGUGAGGUAAAGGCUCACCUAGGCGACGAUCCGUAGCUGGUCUGAGAGGACGACCAGCCACACUGGAACUGAGACACGGUCCAGACUCCUACGGGAGCAGCAGUGGGGAAUUUUGGACAAUGGGCGCAAGCCUGAUCCAGCCAUGCCGCGUGAGUGAAGAAGGCCUUCGGGUUGU
RNAcentral lists this ribosomal RNA (395 nucleotides) under uncultured bacterium. RNAcentral's name for it is "bacterial SSU rRNA". It matches the Rfam family "Bacterial small subunit ribosomal RNA", at positions 30 to 426 of the family's 1533-position model. The record is from RNAcentral.